GAGAGUGGGUAGUCCGUACGAGCGCACCUUGUCCUUAUUUGCCAGCACGUAAUGGUGGGAACUCUAAGGAGACUGCCGGUGACAAACCGGAGGAAGGUGGGGACGACGUCAAGUCAUCAUGGCCCUUAUGACCAGGGCUACACACGUGCUACAAUGGAGCGUACAGAGGGUUGCUAAGCCGCGAGGUGGAGCCAAUCCCAGAAAACGUUUCGUAGUCCGGAUCGAAGUCUGCAACUCGACUUCGUGAAGUCGGAAUCGCUAGUAAUCGCGAAUCAGCAUGUCGCGGUGAAUACGUUCCCGGGCCUUGUACACACCGCCCGUCACACCAUGGGAGUGGGUUGCAAAAGAAGUGGCUAGUCUAACCUUCGGGAGGACGGUCACCACUUUGUGAUUCAUGACUGGGGUGAAGUCGUAACAAGGUAGCCCUAGGGGAACCUGGGGCUGGAUCACCUCCUU
This 456-nucleotide ribosomal RNA is filed under the name uncultured Gammaproteobacteria bacterium. RNAcentral describes it as "bacterial SSU rRNA". It matches the Rfam family "Bacterial small subunit ribosomal RNA", at positions 1072 to 1532 of the family's 1533-position model. The record is from RNAcentral. Lineage: Bacteria; Pseudomonadati; Pseudomonadota; Gammaproteobacteria.